This 726-nucleotide long non-coding RNA is filed under the name Triticum aestivum (bread wheat). RNAcentral's name for it is "long non-coding RNA (TAES_LNC027760)". Lineage: Eukaryota; Viridiplantae; Streptophyta; Magnoliopsida; Poales; Poaceae. The record is from RNAcentral.
GUGACAUCCAGCUCCUACUGGUGGAGUCCUAGGGCUGCAUGCCAACAACUGUAUUUCUCCUCCCCUCAACCCUCACGAACUAUAUAUUUUGUUUAUGCAAUUUCAAUGGCUUAGUUUCAUGUGUCAGAUCAUUGUUGCCUGCGUAUUCUUGUCUCCACCACUGAAGACCAAUGGUGACUGCGGGCAGUAUUCAUGCUCUGCUGCAGACUGAUCGUCCUCUUAUAUCAGGCUGAUCGUUAUUGCCCAAUUGGGCAAUGGUUGUCUCCUCUUAUACGAAACGUGAUGCGUGUUGAUCUUCUUAAAUAAUGCCUCUCAUACAUAUACUUCAAAUAUUGGUCAGACAAGAAUAGGAAAGCCUAUAGGUACAAAAUAGAUAGGAAAGCCUCUUUAAUUAUUUCAUUUCUAGGGUUUGAUGUCAAGGAGGUUCCUAUACCAAUGGUGACAGUGGGCAGUAUUCACGCUCUGAUGCAUGUAUGCUUAUCCUCUCCACCCACUCUUUUCCAACUCUCUCCUGUUGCACUCCAUUUUGAUGUUUAGAUCUCUCAAAUCCAUAUGCACUCUUGUUGUGCACUUCAGUGAUUAGGAAUCUAAUGUUUGAUUAAAUUAUAUUUUCAGUUUUUGUGCUCAUGGAGUGCUUGAUGAAUUGCUUGCAGGAAGCGGGAUUUAAUGAUGUACAAUUUUGGAGCUGUUGGUUUAAUUGUUCAAAUGGGAGCUUCAUAGGGGCAU